GCACCGGUAGUGUAACGGUUAGCAUAGGAGCCUUCCAAGCUCUUGAUUCGGGUUCAAAUCCCGACCGGUGCA
Molecule: transfer RNA, 72 nt
Filed under: Candidatus Woesearchaeota archaeon
Lineage: Archaea; Nanobdellati; Candidatus Woesearchaeota
Description: tRNA-Gly
Rfam family: tRNA
About the family: Transfer RNA (tRNA) molecules are approximately 80 nucleotides in length.
Source: RNAcentral